RNAcentral lists this ribosomal RNA (352 nucleotides) under uncultured bacterium. Its description in RNAcentral is "bacterial SSU rRNA". It matches the Rfam family "Bacterial small subunit ribosomal RNA", at positions 29 to 410 of the family's 1533-position model. The record is from RNAcentral.
AACGAACGCUGGCGGCAGGCCUAACACAUGCAAGUCGAGCGAACCCUUCGGGGUUAGCGGCGGACGGGUUAGUAACGCGUGGGAAUAUACCCUUUGGUACGGAAUAGCCUCGGGAAACUGAGAGUAAUACCGUAUGUGCCCUUGGGGAAAGAUUUAUCGCCAAAGGAUUAGCCCGCGUUGGAUUAGAUAGUUGGUGGGGUAAUGGCCUACCAAGUCUACGAUCCAUAGCUGGUUUGAGAGGAUGAUCAGCAACACUGGGACUGAGACACGGCCCAGACUCCUACGGGAGGCAGCAGUGGGGAAUCUUAGACAAUGGGCGCAAGCCUGAUCUAGCCAUGCCGCGUGGACGAUG